CAGUCCCAUCUGGAGGGCAGAGCCCUCCCAGCACAAUGAUAGCCAACAGCUGUAGUUGUAAGCUUAAACUUAUGGUCCGAACACGUGGUCCCACGUGCCUGAGUGAUAUGGGCUUGAUAGAGUUCAGGUGCAUGUAAUUGAGUAGGAUCCAAACCUACGAGAAUGUUGUAAACAUCUUGAUUACGCCCUUCCUUUGCCUCGUGGCAUCUGGCUAUAAAAUGAAGACA
Long non-coding RNA from Pipistrellus kuhlii (Kuhl's pipistrelle), 227 nucleotides. RefSeq lists it as uncharacterized. The transcript has 3 exons. NCBI's taxonomy places the organism in Eukaryota, Metazoa, Chordata, Mammalia, Chiroptera, Vespertilionidae. The record is from RefSeq and is a predicted model, not a curated record.